This 327-nucleotide long non-coding RNA is filed under the name Capsicum annuum. RNAcentral's name for it is "long non-coding RNA (CANN_LNC011496)". The record is from RNAcentral. Lineage: Eukaryota; Viridiplantae; Streptophyta; Magnoliopsida; Solanales; Solanaceae.
AGCCUAAACAACCUCUUUUCCCCUCCUUUCUCCUCUAACCCCGCAUACAAGCUCUCAAACGCCGCCGUCUUAGUAGCCGUAAGUGCUAGCUUAGCCCCCCUCCUCGCUAACUUGUACUCCUCCCUAUUUACCCGCUUCUCUUCUUCAUCCUUACUCUCAACCAACUUAGCAUAUGCCCCCUUCUUAGUCUCCACUUUCUUCUUAACUUCUUCAUUCCACCACCAAUAAUUAACCUUCGUUUUCAUAUGCAGUCUCCAAAGGAUACAGUUCCAUGUCGGACUGCUAAGCUAAAUGACUCAAAUAAUUAACCUUCGUUUUCAUAUGCAG